RNAcentral lists this ribosomal RNA (253 nucleotides) under uncultured prokaryote. RNAcentral's name for it is "partial 16S ribosomal RNA". It matches the Rfam family "Bacterial small subunit ribosomal RNA", at positions 524 to 776 of the family's 1533-position model. The record is from RNAcentral.
UACGGAGGGUGCAAGCGUUAUCCGGAUUCACUGGGUUUAAAGGGUGCGUAGGAGGACUGGUAAGUCAGUGGUGAAAUCUCCGGGCUUAACCCGGAAAUUGCCGUUGAUACUAUCAGUCUUGAAUACCGUGGAGGUGAGCGGAAUAUGUCAUGUAGCGGUGAAAUGCUUAGAUAUGACAUAGAACACCAAUUGCGAAGGCAGCUCACUACACGAAUAUUGACUCUGAGGCACGAAAGCGUGGGGAUCAAACAGG